GGGGGCGAAAGGAUUUCGACGGGGAAUCCGAGUCUUGAUAAGCGAGCAGAGGCGAGGCACCUCUAUAAAAGCUUCAAUGUUAUAAAAUAAAUAACAAAAAUACAGUUUUAGCAGCUGCCUAAGUGCAGCAGCCGUCAUUCCCGGGAGUACCGCGGCCCGGUGCGUGGCGUCAUGUAGCGGUGAACGUGUAUGAGAAAUAGCCUUGUAUUUCAUCACGCAUUAAAGGGCUGGUUUUCUUCGGAGUGUGUUGCUUCACGCCGAAGAGAACGAGAAUAAAUAAGCAAAUACGCUCGUAGAAAGUUGGGAGGAAGGUUUUUCGGACAGGGGUUCGACUCCCCUCGCCUCCACCA
RNAcentral lists this transfer-messenger RNA (350 nucleotides) under Oscillospiraceae bacterium. It matches the Rfam family "transfer-messenger RNA". Rfam says of the family: Bacterial tmRNA, also known as 10Sa RNA or SsrA, is named for its dual tRNA and mRNA-like properties. Its role is to liberate the mRNA from a stalled ribosome. Lineage: Bacteria; Bacillati; Bacillota; Clostridia; Eubacteriales; Oscillospiraceae. RNAcentral also lists the same sequence under 1 other name. The record is from RNAcentral.